CAUUGCCGCGACCAUUUGGCAACAACGAAAUAAUUUCCUAUAGUGACUGAAUGAUUUCUGUUUAAAUUAUGACGUAAUGAUGCUCUGCUGGCAACACGACCCUAAAUCAAGACCAUCCUUUCAAAGACUGUGUGAAUAUAUACAGAAGAUAAGAAAGAAUGAGUACAUCAGUAUCGGUAGCUGUGCCAAUAUAAGUGAUGAUGAAAACGACAGGGAGAAUAGCGACGACUACGACAACAAACAUCCUAUCUGGAAAUGUAAUGGGAACUAUGCUAUAGAAGAAGAUUCUGUGUAAUUUAUGAAGUGGGAGACAACGAAUGAACGUUUAAUUGAACAUCGGGUGUUGAGAGAAUAUAAGGAUUUUAGUACAACAUGUGGGUGUCAAGAGCAUGUGGAUGAAAGGGACAUGGGGACUAUAGUAACAUGUUUACUGAAUCAAUAUGUGGACUAAUGUAACAUGUUUACUGAAUCAAUAUGUGGACUAAUGUAACAUGUUUACUGAAACAAUAUGUGGGCUGAAGUAACAUGUUUACUGAAACAAUAUGUGGAGUAAAGUAACACGAGGAAUAAAGUAACACGGGGGCUUAAGUAACACGUGGACUUAAGUAACACGUGGACUUAAGUAACACGAGGACUUAAGUAACAUGUGGACUUAAGUAACACGGGGACUUAAGUAACACGGGGACUUAAGUAACACGGGGACUUAAGUAACACAGGGACUUAAGUUACACGUGGACUUAAGUAAGACUUAAGUAACAUGUGGACUUAAGUAACAUGUGGACUUGCGGAAUAAAGUAGCAUGCGGACUAAAAUAACACGGAUUAAGUAACAUGAGGACUAAAGUAACAGUUGGACUAACGUUACAUGUGGACUAAAGCAAUAUGUGGACUAGAGUUAUGUGGGUUUAGUAACGCAUGAACUAAAGUACAAAGUAAUAUAUGAGUUAAGUAACAAUUCGAUCAAAGGAACAUGCGAACAAAAGUAAGAUAUGACCUGGAGUAAUAUGUGGAAACAAGGAACAUGGGGUCUUAUUGAACAUAGGGGCUUAAUGAACAUGGGGUCUUAUUGAACAUAGGGACUGAAGUAACAUGGGGUCUUAUUGAACAUAGGGACUUAAGUAACAUGGGGUCUUAUUGAACAUAGGGACUUAAGAAACAUGGGGUCUUAUUGAACAUAGGGACGUAAGAAACAUGGGGUCUUAUUGAACAUAAGGACGUAAGAAACAUGGGGUCUUAUUGAACAUAGGGACGUAAGAAACAUGGGGUCUUAUUGAACAGAGGGACUUAAGUAAUAUGUGGUCUUAUUGAACAUAGGGACGUAAGAAACAUGGGGUCUUAUUGAACAUAGGGACGUAAGUAAUGUGGGGUCUUAUUGAACAUAGGGACGUAAGAAACAUGGGGUCUUAUUGAACAUAGGGACGUAAGUAAUAUGGGGUCUUAUUGAACAUAGGGACGUAAGAAACAUGGGGUCUUAUUGAACAUAGGGACGUAAGUAACAUGGGGUCUUAUUGAACAUAGGGACGUAAGAGACAUGGUGUCUUAUUGAACAUAGGGACUGAAGUAACAUGGGGUCUUAUUGAACAUAGGGACUUAAGUAACAUGGGGUCUUAUUGAACAUAGGGACGUAAGAGACAUGGUGUCUUAUUGAACAUAGAGACGUAAGUAAUGUGAGGUCUAAUUGAACAUAUGGACUUAAGUAACAUGGGGUCUUAUUGAACAUAGUGACUUAAAUAAUAUGAGGUCUAAAGCAACAUGGCAUCUGAAGGAACAACUAUCUUUAUAGAAUUUUUGUGAUUGAUCUAGGUGCACUCGAAUUUCCAUUAACAAAUUUUAACAGAUCAUAUUACCGGUAUAAGUAGUUACAUAUUUACAGCACCAAUGAAAUCUGGAAUUGAUGUUUUACAUCCUGGUCACUUGACACCAACAACUCCCAGCAGUGAGGAAGUAGAAGGUUGACGUUAUUGACAGGUAUCAUAUUUAUCAUUGAGGUAAGGCCAGUUGGCCAAUAAAUAAUCAGUCUACACUAAGUUUGGGGAUGGUCAUAUUACAGGACUGGUACAUUGGUACAUUGCUUUUGUUUGUUUGUAUUUCUAUUGAAUUGCAACAAGUAGGGGGGAUGUUCAUUCUACAGGGGCUUAUUGAUGGAUAUAUAUGUUAAAUAAUUAGAGCGAAAUGUAGGUAAAGAUUGUGCAUUUGAAUCACAUGGUAGCUCUUAACCCAAGCAUGCUACGGGCCUUAAUUUAGGUCCCUGUGCCUCCUUGUUCUUGAGAAGUCAUUUUUAGAUUUUAAUCUACUUGAAACCUAUGACCAUGAGUGUAGGUCAAGGUCAUUCAUUUGAACAAACUUGGAAGCCCUUCAUCCCAGUAUGCUACACACUUGACAUCAGAUCUCUGGGUCUCUUUGUUAUUGAGAAGAAGUUGUUUAAAGGAAAAAUAGUUGUUGCCAGCCAGCCAUAGCAUCUUUUUUUGUGCGUGUAUUUUUAGCAAUUCAAGGUAACAAAUUUUGGCUAAUACCAAUUCAAUGCUUUAAAAGAUUCCCUGAUGGCUUAAAUAAUACCUUAUGUUUAAGAUAAUCUCUGUUUUAAAAUGUUAUGUCUUGAAAGGAUUUCUAUGUUUGAAAAGAAUACUGUUGAUUUUAAAUGGUUAUGUCAUGUUAAAAAUGUUAGCUAAUGUUUUAAAAUGGUAUCUUAGGUUAACAUUGUUUGGAGACUUAAUUAUAUUCCUUGGAGAAUGAGAGAAUGUGUAUGUAAAUGUUGUGUAUUUUAUAUACUUUAUACAGUAAAAACCUGUCUAAUCAAUCCGCUGAGUAGUCUCAUUCCUGUCUAAUCUGACAUCUUGCCCCAUGAGAUUUCAUCAAGAAAUUUUGUGCAAUAAAUUUACAUUAAUGUUAUGAUUAAACUGUUUUUCAAUUCCA
This is a long non-coding RNA of Pecten maximus, 2912 nucleotides long. RefSeq lists it as uncharacterized. Lineage: Eukaryota; Metazoa; Mollusca; Bivalvia; Pectinida; Pectinidae. The transcript is spliced from 3 exons. The record is from RefSeq and is a predicted model, not a curated record.